UACGGAGGGUGCAAACGUUGCUCGGAAUUAUUGGGCGUAAAGCGCACGUAGGCUGUUCGGUAAGUCGGAUGUGAAAUCCCUCGGCUCAACCGAGGAAGUGCAUCCGAAACUGCCGGGCUUGAGUACGGAAGAGGGUCUCGGAAUUCCCGGUGUAGAGGUGAAAUUCGUAGAUAUCGGGAGGAACACCAGUGGCGAAGGCGGAGACCUGGGCCGAUACUGACGCUGAGGUGCGAAAGCGUGGGGAGCAAACAGG
RNAcentral lists this ribosomal RNA (253 nucleotides) under uncultured prokaryote. RNAcentral's name for it is "partial 16S ribosomal RNA". It matches the Rfam family "Bacterial small subunit ribosomal RNA", at positions 524 to 776 of the family's 1533-position model. The record is from RNAcentral.